This 341-nucleotide ribosomal RNA is filed under the name Pheidole gagates. Its description in RNAcentral is "partial 16S large subunit ribosomal RNA". The record is from RNAcentral. Lineage: Eukaryota; Metazoa; Arthropoda; Insecta; Hymenoptera; Formicidae.
AAUAGUUUUUUAAAUGGAAACUGGGAUGAAUGGAAGGAUGAAAUUUAUACUUUCUUAAAUUAAAUUUUUAAAUUUAUUAAUUAAGUAAAAAUACUUAAAUAAGUACAUGGGACGAGAAGACCCUAUAGAAUUUUAUAUAAAUUCAAUAAAAAAUUUAAUAUUGAAUGUAGUGAAUUUAUAUUUUAUUGGGAGGAUAGUUAAAUUUAAAAAACUUUAGAAGUAUGAAACCAUUAAUUUAUGAAAUAAGUAGUAAGAAUGAUAUAUAUAUUUAAGUAGAAUUAAUUACCUUAGGGAUAACAGCGUUAUAUUUUUAGAGAGUUCUUAUCAAUAAAAGUGAUUGC